AGCAGCCGCGGUAAUUCCAGCUCCAAUAGCGUAUAUUAAAGUUGUUGCAGUUAAAAAGCUCGUAGUUGAAUUUCGGGAUCAAGGAAUCGGUCAUGCCUUGGUAUGUACUGGUUUUAUUGGUUCUCACCUUCUAAAGAACCAUAAUGUCAUUUAUUUGAUGUUAUGGGGAAUUAGGACUGUUACCUUGAAAAAAUUAGAGUGUUUAAAGCAAGCUUACGCUUGAAUACAUUAGCAUGGAAUAAUGAAAUAGGACAUCAGAUUCUAUUUUGUUGGUUUCUAGGAUCGAUGUAAUGAUUAAUAGGGAUAGUUGGGGGCAUUAGUAUUCAAUUGUCAGAGGUGAAAUUCUUGGAUUUAUUGAAGACUAACUACUGCGAAAGCAUUUGCCAAGGAUGUUUUCAUUAAUCAAGAACGAAAGUUAGGGGAUCGAAGACGAUCAGAUACCGUCGUAGUCUUAACCAUAAACUAUGCCGACUAGGGAUCGGAUGAUGUUAAUUUAUAAUGACUCAUUC
Molecule: ribosomal RNA, 509 nt
Filed under: uncultured Glomus
Lineage: Eukaryota; Fungi; Glomeromycota; Glomeromycetes; Glomerales; Glomeraceae
Description: SSU rRNA
Rfam family: Eukaryotic small subunit ribosomal RNA
Source: RNAcentral